CUCCCGUCAUCCCAUCUCUCUUCUCCUUCUCCUUCUCCUUCCGAGCGCCACGACGCUAGGUUUUGCUGCCGCCGCCAGCCUAGCCCGGCCGGCACCACCACCUCCUUCUCUCGCGUUCGGGCGUCCCUGCCUUGCCUGGACCGCCUCUCGACUCGAUCUCUCCCCUCUCUCCUCUUUCCCUCGACGGUGUGGGCGAGCAGGGAGACCGUGUGCCGACGGUUGAAGAGGAAGGUCGGCCUCAUCCAUACAUCUCCAAGCCCAGAUGCCCCACUUCCUCCUCCCCUUCCCCCGCCCCCACCCCCACCUCCACCUCCCCCUCCUCUUGCACAUCACCUGGGCGGCUGGGCCAUGGGAUCCCUGCACGCACAAACCUAGCUCCAAGCAGCUGCUGCACGGUGGGGAAUGGCAGAGGCUGAACGCGUGCAGCCCAUGACGCUGGUGCAGGUUGAGCCUCCCCUUCCACAGGGAUUCCUCUCCCUCCAUGGAUUACCAGACUUUCAGGAAUUACUGGAGCAACCAAUGGACAUGAAACACCCAAGAAGGGGAAGGGCAUUUUAUGAUAUUAUAUGAGGAAAAAGUGCUAUAACAGUGCAGGUUAGAUUCUCCUUUUAAUUUUGUUGAUUUACAGUAGAUUGGGAACGCAUAAGUACAAACUGAAUAACUUUACUUCUUUUGCUUUUACAUAGAAGAAUUAGUGCUAGCAAAUUCAAAAUAAAUUUGCAAUGGUCUAGAUGAAGGUGCAGGAUAACAUAUAAUUGAUCGGGUGAGUGUCAGAUAUAGUGUCCUACAUUUGUGUUUUUUGAAACCAUGUCCUCUUCCUUAUCUUGCCGGCGCCUGUGGGUAAAUCUGAGAAAAGUUUGAUACCUGAACCAUAACUCAACCAAACUCACGUGAGCUAGCUUGACACUUGAACCUAAACUAAACCCACGAUAGCUCUCUUGACACCCAACCAAAACCAAACUUGCUGGGAAUUUUAACCAAACCAAACUGAACCAAGGCUUCAACCAUGGGUUGAAACUGUUUACAUAAAUAGGUUCAGAACCGUUUGAUUAAAUGGGUUAAGCACUAUAUUAACAAUCAACCAAAACACAACAAGCACACUGAACCAACUUACUGCUUCACUCAACUGGAGUUUGACAAUGACAUCUCAAACUGAAUAUACAUUACAAAGGACUCAUAUUCAGAAUUGAGCAUCAAGUCAACCUCUGACGAAAUGAAAUUAACAAAGAAACAACACAAGUAACCAGAGCAUCAGGAAUCCACAUCAUCUAAACAAAGAUGGGCUAUCAAAUAGACAAUCUAAACAAGCUUGGCCAUGGCCACGGCGGCCGCUAGUACUCAGCGCAGAAGUUCACAUCCUUCAUGACAAAGAUCAUCACGCUGGCCGCGACACAAGCACCCGAGAACAUGAGAAUGGCCAUGACCUGCAAAAUAACAUGGACAUCAUUUCACUUCGAAAACACUUGCUUAUCACUGGAAGCCUAGAAUAUAUAUCAACGAAAAAUAGUGCCGGCAACUCCUAUUACAGGUUUUGGUGGAUUUAUUACGUGCUAGAUGAAAUGAACACACAUUCCUACAAGAACAGAGGAAGAAAUAGGGCAACAAGACCCGGCUGUGUUCCAGCCAACAAAUUCAAUGAACUUAUGACAUGCCUAUGGACUAGCUGAUUCAUCACUCCUUUAUUCAUCACUCACUUGUCAAGAGUGUCAUAUCAAACCAAAGUCCAAUAGUUCUACAUACUAGUCUUGGCAAUGUUUACUCGCUUAGCGACAGUGGUUUUGCUUGUCCAAUCACUAUAACGGAAAAAGGAGCAAGGCAAAGGCAAAUCGAUGAUCAGGAUCACAUUUUUACCUUUUCUUGGUUUCAAGUUUUUAGCCGUGUGCUUACUGUCCAUCUCCUGCAAAUGAAACAAAGGAUUAAUUUAAAGGCAUAUGAACACUUAUAUGCUGCAAGUUUUAUAUAUCACAUUUUACACAAGUAGUAGAACCAAAAUGUAAUUGGUUAGCUCACCCUCCUUUGGUUUGAACAACCAAUCUUUAGCACAAACAAGCACUUCUAGCAUAUCAGGGUUCAAAGAGCUUCUCUUGUCGCCUAGUAUCCUCUUACCACAACUGAAGGCUGAUUCAGAUGCCACUGUGCUCAAAGGAAUUGCAAGAAAGUCACGGGCCAUAGAUGCCAAUAUAGGAAACUUUUCGGCAUGCCUCUUCCACCAACCCAAGACAUCAAAGUCAUCACCGGCCUUCUCGGAUGCUUCUUCCAAGUACGCAUCAAGCUCGGAUUUGUGUACACGUGACCUCCGACGAGACUUGUGCUGGGCAAACUCUUCUUCCAACUUCCUUUUCCCUGCAAUAGGUGAUCCAAUAGUGGUAUUGCCUUGACUAGAAGGUGUCGAGUGUGCAGUGCUUAUCGUUGCAAGUAGCUCAUAUUCCUUGACAUACUUUCUCACCCAUUCUAAAGCAAUCUCCACUUGUUUUGUAAUCUGCUCCUCGUUGGUGGACAACUUGCAAUAGAAGAAAUCCAAGUAAUCUUCUUUCCUCCUUGGAUCAAGGAUUGUAGUAAUGACAAGUGCAUGGUUAAACUCAAUGCCCUUGCUUUUUCUACGACGGUUAGGAUCUGCAUUCUCCUUCUCCUCGGGAUCCCAAUAUUUAUCGAGCUUCGUUUGCAUCACUGCCGCCAACUCCUUCAACACAUCAGAGGUCUGCCAACCCGGAUCUUUCAAUGCAUGGCGAAUAGAAAGCACAACCGGCAGAAACUUAUGUGAAGUUGGCUUCCUGUGAGCUGAAACAAUCAAGGUAAGUUCUUCAAAAGCUUUUAGAAACUCGCAAAUAGCUUUUGCCUUCUCCCAUUCUUCCUCACUUGGAGACUCUAUCAUCUUUCUAUUGGCAUAACAAGUGAGGACAGAUUUGUACGUCAAUGCUUCUACAAGCAUUUUCCAGGUUGAGUUCCAUCUGGUUGGUGUAUCAACAGAGAUGCCUUUCUUUGCACAUAGACCCAUCCCACUUGUAAUUGUAUUGAAAUCUUGAAGUCUUGAAGGAGAAGAGUCAAUAUACUUCAGCAGUUCACGUAUCAUGUCAAUAGCUUCAUGGAUUAUUUUCAUUCCAUCCUGAACCAAGAUAUUAAGAAUGUGCGCACAACACCUGACAUGCAAAUGUUGACCUUCAAGGAGCAGCUCAUGUUUGUGAUAUUUUAUUAACUCCUCACAUGCAUUAGUAUUAUUGCUGGCAUUAUCUAGUGUCAAAGUGAAUAAUUUGCCCCUUAUGCCCCAUUCUGUUAAGCAACGAACUAUUUCUUCUUCUAUCGCAUAGCCUGUGUGGGGAUACUUCACUUCUGCGAAACUUAUGGUCUUCUUGUAGUUGAAUUCUGCAUUGAUAUAAUGGGCGGUGAUGCACAUGUAGCCCAAGUCCUGUGAUGAUGUCCACAUGUCAGAUGUUAAGCAAAUGCGAGAAUCCAAAUUUUCUAGCUCUACUUCAAUAUCUUUCUUCAUUCCCUUAUACAUCUUCACUGCAUCAUCAUGAAUUGUGUGACGACCCUUGAUUUGAAACGCUGGCUGCAUUGAGUCAAUCCAUGGCUGAAGGUGGGGAUCUUCAAACUUAAGAAAGGGGAUCUCAGCAUGGACGCAAUACUUGACCAUGAGUUCACGACAAACUUUUUCAUCAAACACAACAGACCUUCGGAUGGUUUUCUUUUCGGUCAACAAAAACCUCUUCCUGCAAGCCUCCUGAAUUGAUCGGCAAGCCUCUGCAAUAUGGGUCCUCAAACUGCUAGUCCCAAACUUGGUGUGAAGUUGCGCUCCACAGUAUUUGCACACAGCCUUGAAAUCACCAUCUACGAGAACCAGAUCUACUUCAUAAUGCUCCCAUACCUUGGACCUUCUAGCAUGUGGUACUUGACUCGUAUUCUCAUCCAUGGAAUCAACACUCUCCGAACCCUCUGAUGUAGACAUGCCUCAAAUUACUAGUGAGUAAUUACUAUAGUGACUGAUCGAUCGGUCGAGUGGUCUGGGUUGGUGUGUUUUUCCCGUCCUUGGUGCGUGGCCUGUGAAUGCAGAUGCAAGGUGCAAGCAGGUUAAUACUAGUACUAGUAGCAGUAAAAGUUGAUGCAUGUAAAAUAAAAUAAACGACAAAAUCACUGGGAAUAAAUGUUUUGGAUUUCAAAUCUCAAAAUAGAUCAACCAACAUCAAGGUUCGAUAAUCUACAUGGCAAAAAAUUGACUUAAAAUUUUCAGUCCCAAACUCUGAACAUGCAAAAUAUUUUUUCUUAGUUGAUAAGGUCCACUAACUAAGUACUUCCUUCUUAUCUCAACAAUCAAAAUUUAGAAAACCCUGCAUAACGGUCCAGAGCAUAAAAAGAAGUCAUAGGAGUGCUAAGAACAUUUUAUUUUAUUUUAGUUCCUCUGCCGACAGGAUAAGAAGAUGUUGGGUUUAGUACAACGUACAUAUGCCGACAUUAAAGUGCUAUAGAGCAUAGUCUACAUAAAGAAGUUCACGCCUCAUAUCUCAACAAUCAUCCCAAUCUUAUUAUGGCAAAAUAACCAUUAUGAAGCUACAAUGUGAGUAUAAAAUAGUAAGAAUCAGUGGUAAACAGUCCGCUGUCCAGCCCAGUAUGUGAUUUAAAUGACGAACAUGUGCAGACCAAAUGAAUUACACAACAAAUCAUCAUACAAUUUGCUGCUGCCAUGAUCAAUAUGAGCCAAAGUUUGCACUGCUUAUUUUGUGAAGGAAUAACAGUUUUCAAUCACAUCAAUGGAGUGACUGAUAAAGUGGUUCUAUUUUUAAAUGAUCUUAGUACCUUGUUCGGUAAAUCAUUAAAAAGCGCUUAUAAAUCACUGCAGAAAGGAAAUAAAACAUUGGCCAACUGAGAAGCUAUUAGGAAAAAAUGGGUGAAGGAUAUUGCUAUUGACUUAUCUUAGUACUCCUUAGUACAUAAAGAAAAACUUGAAUACAGAAUACCACUCCCUAUAGUUUGUACAACAAUGAGAAAAGUUACGCAUCAGAGAUUCAGAACAGACUUCAUGCUAGAAAUUGACCAUGACAACUUAUGAGAAGGCAGUAUACUAGCAGAGGUGCUGAAUGCGCAAAAUCGUCGAAAGAUGUAAAGAGGUUUCGAGGAUGAGUACCAUCCAGGUAUUAUGGAAUAGCAAGUUUGCUCUUUAACUAGACAUAAUUUUCCACGUGAUAUUGUUUCCAGUAGUUUGCAAACUGUUGGAUGGAACUCUGCAAUUCUGUAGCUAUGAACAGCUAGCUGUAAGCGUGAAUUCAACUAAUGCCCAAGCUCCACAGAUGCAACUACCGAUGGCAACAUUCAUAACCGGCGCUUGGCAUGAGCGCCGCCGGAGCACCGCUCCACAUCCACGACAAAGCCAAACAACAAAGCGUCACUCGCCUCUCACAAAUUGAAACUGAACCGAAAAUGUAUAGUCGUACAGAGAACAAAUUGAAGUGGUUCUUUGUUGAGGAGCUGUGGAAUCGACCUGGUUGUUGCUGUUGUUGUUGCAGAGAAGGAGGGGACCAGCAGGGGCACCUUGCCGGCGUUGCCGCUGGAGCACCUUGCCGGCUUGCCGCCGGAGGAGCAGGACCUGGUCAACAGGAGGAGCCGGUC
Long non-coding RNA from Triticum dicoccoides, 5598 nucleotides. RefSeq lists it as uncharacterized. The transcript is spliced from 3 exons. NCBI's taxonomy places the organism in Eukaryota, Viridiplantae, Streptophyta, Magnoliopsida, Poales, Poaceae. The record is from RefSeq and is a predicted model, not a curated record.